GCGAAAGUAGCUCAGUUGGUAGAGCACAACCUUGCCAAGGUUGGGGUCGCGGGUUCGAAUCCCGUCUUUCGCUCAA
This 76-nucleotide transfer RNA is filed under the name Bacteroides coprosuis DSM 18011. RNAcentral describes it as "tRNA-Gly". It matches the Rfam family "tRNA". Rfam says of the family: Transfer RNA (tRNA) molecules are approximately 80 nucleotides in length. Their secondary structure includes four short double-helical elements and three loops (D, anti-codon, and T loops). Lineage: Bacteria; Pseudomonadati; Bacteroidota; Bacteroidia; Bacteroidales; Bacteroidaceae. RNAcentral also lists the same sequence under 1 other name. The record is from RNAcentral.